CCUACGGGAGGCAGCAGUAGGGAAUCUUCCGCAAUGGACGAAAGUCUGACGGAGCAACGCCGCGUGAGUGAUGAAGGCUUUCGGGUCGUAAAACUCUGUUGUUAGGGAAGAACAAGUACGAGAGUAACUGCUCGUACCUUGACGGUACCUAACCAGAAAGCCACGGCUAACUACGUGCCAGCAGCCGCGGUAAUACGUAGGCGGCAAGCGUUAUCCGGAAUUAUUGGGCGUAAAGCGCGCGCAGGCGGUUUCUUAAGUCUGAUGUGAAAGCCCACGACUCAACCGUGGAGGGUCAUUGGAAACUGGGGAACUUGAGUGCAGAAGAGAAAAGCGGAAUUCCACGUGUAGCGGUGAAAUGCGUAGAGAUGUGGAGGAACACCAGUGGCGAAGGCGGCUUUUUGGUCUGUAACUGACGCUGAGGCGCGAAAGCGUGGGGAGCAAACAGGAUUAGAUACCCAGGUAGUCCACGCCGUAAACGAUGAGUGCUAAGUGUUAGAGGGUUUCCGCCCUUUAGUGCUGCAGCUAACGCAUUAAGCACUCCGCCUGGGGAGUACGGUCGCAAGACUGAAACUCAAAUGAAUUGACGGGG
This 589-nucleotide ribosomal RNA is filed under the name uncultured Bacillus sp. RNAcentral's name for it is "bacterial SSU rRNA". It matches the Rfam family "Bacterial small subunit ribosomal RNA", at positions 338 to 918 of the family's 1533-position model. Lineage: Bacteria; Bacillati; Bacillota; Bacilli; Caryophanales; Bacillaceae. The record is from RNAcentral.